AACGAACGCUGGCGGCAUGCCUAACACAUGCAAGUCGAACGAGACCUUCGGGUCUAGUGGCGCACGGGUGCGUAACGCGUGGGAACCUGCCCUUAGGUUCGGAAUAACUCCCCGAAAGGGGUGCUAAUACCGGAUAAUGUCUUCGGACCAAAGAUUUAUCGCCUUUGGAUGGGCCCGCGUUGGAUUAGCUAGUUGGUAGGGUAAAAGCCUACCAAGGCGACGAUCCAUAGCUGGUCUGAGAGGAUGAUCAGCCACACUGGGACUGCGACACGGCCCAGACUCCUACGGGAGGCAGCAGUGGGGAAUAUUGGACAAUGGGCGAAAGACUGAUCCAGCAAUGCCGCGUGAGUGAUGAAGGCCUUAGGGUUGUAAAGCUCUUUUACCCGGGAUGAUAAUGACAGUACCGGGAGAAUAAGCUCCGGCUAACUCCGU
Molecule: ribosomal RNA, 432 nt
Filed under: uncultured bacterium
Lineage: Bacteria
Description: partial 16S ribosomal RNA
Rfam family: Bacterial small subunit ribosomal RNA
Source: RNAcentral